Molecule: ribosomal RNA, 253 nt
Filed under: uncultured bacterium
Lineage: Bacteria
Description: partial 16S ribosomal RNA
Rfam family: Bacterial small subunit ribosomal RNA
Source: RNAcentral
UACGUAGGGUGCGAGCGUUAAUCGGAAUUACUGGGCGUAAAGCGUGCGCAGGUUGUGUUGUAAGUCAGAUGUGAAAUCCCCGGGCUCAACCUGGGAAUGGCAUUUGAGACUGCAAUGCUGGAGUGUGUCAGAGGGGGGUAGAAUUCCACGUGUAGCAGUGAAAUGCGUAGAGAUGUGGAGGAAUACCGAUGGCGAAGGCAGCCCCCUGGGAUAACACUGACGCUCAUGCACGAAAGCGUGGGGAGCAAACAGG